RNAcentral lists this ribosomal RNA (445 nucleotides) under uncultured bacterium. Its description in RNAcentral is "bacterial SSU rRNA". It matches the Rfam family "Bacterial small subunit ribosomal RNA", at positions 329 to 792 of the family's 1533-position model. The record is from RNAcentral.
UGCCAGACUCCUACGGGAGGCAGCAGUAGGGAAUCUUUCACAAUGGGCGAAAGCCUGAUGGAGCAACGCCGCGUGCAGGAUGAAGGCCUUCGGGUUGUAAACUGCUUUUAUAAGCGAGAAAUAUGAUGGUAACUUAUGAAUAAGCAUCGGCUAACUCCGUGCCAGCAGCCGCGGUAAUACGGAGGAUGCGAGCGUUAUCCGGAUUUAUUGGGUUUAAAGGGUGCGUAGGCGGUUUUUUAAGUUAGUGGUUAAACGUCGGGGCUUCACCUUGAUUUGCCAUUAAUACUGUAAGACUCGAGUUCAGACGAGGUAGGCGGAAUAAGUUAAGUAGCGGUGAAAUGCUUAGAUAUAACUUAGAACUCCGAUAGCGAAGGCAGCUUACCAGACUGCGACUGACGCUGAAGCACGAGAGCGUGGGUAGCGAACAGGAUUAGAUACCCUCGUA